AUUGAACGCUGGCGGCAUGCCUUACACAUGCAAGUCGAACGGCAGCGCGGGAGCAAUCCUGGCGGCGAGUGGCGAACGGGUGAGUAACAUAUCGGAACGUGCCCUGGAGUGGGGGAUAACUAGUCGAAAGAUUAGCUAAUACCGCAUACGCUCUGUGGAGGAAAGUGGGGGAUCGCAAGACCUCAUGCUCGUGGAGCGGCCGAUAUCUGAUAGCUAGUUGGUAGGGUAAAAGCCUACCAAGGCGACGAUCAGUAGCUGGUCUGAGAGGACGACCAGCCACACUGGGACUGAGACACGGCCCAGACUCCUACGGGAGGCAGCAGUGGGAAUUUUGGACAAUGGGGCAACCCUGAUCCAGCAAUGCCGCGUGAGUGAUGAAGGCCUUAGGGUUGUAAAGCUCUUUUGCCAGGGACGAUGAUGACGGUACCUGGAGAA
Molecule: ribosomal RNA, 435 nt
Filed under: uncultured bacterium
Lineage: Bacteria
Description: bacterial SSU rRNA
Rfam family: Bacterial small subunit ribosomal RNA
Source: RNAcentral